GACGAAGGUGGCUAGCGUUAUUCGGAUUCACUGGGCAUAAAGCGCGCGUAGGCGGCUCUUCAAGUCGGAGGUGAAAGCCCGCAGCUUAACUGCGGAACUGCCCUCGAUACUGUCGAGCUUGAGUGCAGGAGGGGUGAUCGGAACUCCAGGUGUAGCGGUGAAAUGCGUAGAUAUCUGGAGGAACACCGGAGGCGAAGGCGGAUCACUGGACUGCCACUGACGCUGAGGCGCGAAAGCUAGGGGAGCAAACAGGAUUAGAUACCCUGGUAGUCCUAGCUGUAAACGAUGAGUACUAGGCAACGGGAAUCCGAUGUUUUCGUUGUCGAAGCGAAUGUGCUAAGUACUCCGCCUGGGGAGUACGGCCGCAAGGCUGAA
This 375-nucleotide ribosomal RNA is filed under the name uncultured bacterium. Its description in RNAcentral is "bacterial SSU rRNA". It matches the Rfam family "Bacterial small subunit ribosomal RNA", at positions 524 to 898 of the family's 1533-position model. The record is from RNAcentral.